CGGCACGCCUAACACAUGCAAGUCGAACGAAGUAGCAAUACUUAGUGGCAGACGGGUGAGUAACAUGUGGGUAUCUGCCCUUUGGCCUGGAAUAACACGAGGAAACUUGUGCUAAUACCGGAUAAGUCUUUACGGAGAAAGCUUUAUGCACCAUUGGAUGAGCCCGCACUUGAUUAGUUUGUUGGUGGGGUAAUGGCCUACCAAGACUGUGAUCAAUAGCUGAUUUGAGAGGAUGAUCAGCCACAUUGGGACUGAGACACGGCCCAAACUCCUACGGGAGGCAGCAGUGGGGAAUCUUGCACAAUGGAGGAAACUCUGAUGCAGCGAUGCCGCGUGAGUGAAGAAGGCCUUUGGGUUGUAAAGCUCUUUCGUCGGGGAAGAAAAUGACUGUACCCGAAUAAGAAGGUCCGGCUAACU
Molecule: ribosomal RNA, 417 nt
Filed under: uncultured bacterium
Lineage: Bacteria
Description: bacterial SSU rRNA
Rfam family: Bacterial small subunit ribosomal RNA
Source: RNAcentral